This 8529-nucleotide long non-coding RNA is filed under the name Prunus persica (peach). RNAcentral describes it as "long non-coding RNA (PPER_LNC002916)". The record is from RNAcentral. Lineage: Eukaryota; Viridiplantae; Streptophyta; Magnoliopsida; Rosales; Rosaceae.
UCUUUCCCCAAGAGGGCAUGUGUGUGACACUACCAUGAUCAAGAAUCCAUUUCCUUACUCUGGCACAAGCAUUGUCCUGGCCUCCAUCAGGUCCUUCUCCGAGAAUACGCAUACAAAUGUAGCUCAGGGCUGUGCAGAACAUGGUGCUGUGUCCUUCAAUAUGUAAUCCCCAACCACCAUCUUGAUUCUGAAAAUACAUUACCAUUCUUUAUAUACUAGUUUAACACAAAAUAUGCACAAUGAGUGGAAAUUAAAUUUAAAAAUUGAUCCCAUUUGUAUGAACCAAGUAAAUAAGUAUGUACCUGAUGGUAGUAUAUGUAACGCAGAAUUUCUUUGCGAUGCUCUGCUGGGAAUACAGUAUUAAGAUGCCCUGUAAUGUAUGUACACAUGACCUGCAAAAAAAAAUUGGAAUUAAAAAGGGAAAAUUAGUAAAAAGCUCCAAAACAUUCAUAUUUUAGUAAAAAAUCUAACUAAAGCUCUAAAAAUAACUGUAAUUAUAAGGAAAUUAGAAAUUUUAUACUCACCAAAGGAGGAAGGAAAAACAAUGGGCCAGCAUUUUCAGCAGGCCAAUGGCCAUCACUUGCCUGCAAGGCUGAAAAGAAGUGAACAGAUCUUCUCAGUGAGGCUGUGGCCUUUUCAUAUGUGAUUUCCUCGCCAUCCUCAACCUUUACUGGGGGAAUUGUCUGCUUGAAGUUAUUCUCUUUUAGGAACUGCAGUGUAGUGAACAGAGUAUUAAGAGUGGAAUUAGAGAAAAAAGUAAAUAAAAUUCAUGAUGCUGAUUAUAAAAUUCUAAUUUGGUAUUAGUCCACAAAUAUAUCAGUGAUAUUUAAGAAAGGGGGAAUUGAACCUAGGACCUUGGAUGGAACUACAAGAUUUGAAUACUAGGGAGAUGUUGACACUCCCAAAAAUUUAUUAUUAUGUAAUCAUUCCUUUGUUUUUAUUUUUCUCUUAUUACCACUUUCCUCAUAUCAAAUGGUUUUACCCAUCAAAAGAAAGGAAAUGAAAACUUAUAUAAGUGCUAAAAACAAGACAGAGAUUGGCCCACUACUAGCAACAUCGAUAUUGUCCCCAACUUAACCACCUAUUUAGCAUGUGUGAGAUUUUAUACAAAAGGUCUCGAUGUUAUUAGGAGUAGAACCAUUUAUUAGAUUGGACUUUCUAUUUUGUUAAGUUUCCGAUGUGGGACUCGUGUAUUUUUCAACAAUUACUAGUCUACUAAUAUUCCUUUUUGCAUUUUAUUUGAAGAGGUUCUAAGUUUGAAUUCCCGUCUUUAUAUUAUUAAAAUAAAUUUAAAAAACCAAGACAAACAGAUCAAAAUUAAAAAGGUUUAACGCUAUUCACACUCUUGUUGUCUCUUGUCUAACCUGUUGACGUGAAGGAUAGUGUUGGGAUGGAUGUUAGAGUCUCUUAUGGUGGAUUCAUGGAACACGAGCAUCAUGCAAACCUCUUAUGAAAAUUUAAAUUUUUAUAUCCCCACACACACGCCACUAUCAGCUUCAACAAUUCCUUGGUUUAGGUCAAUUCUCCGCCAUCAUCUUUAUUUAUUUAUUUAUUUUUCUGAUAAACCCUCAUAAUCAUCAGUUUGUCUAUCUGCUCAAAACUUCUUAAAAUAGCAACCGAUCAACAUUUACUUUUACUGACCAAUUUUCUAAUACAACUCACGUUUAUAUGUUGAUUGUAAAGGCGGUCAGUAAGAUAAUCACAAAAAAAUAUAACCCAAAAAUAAGAUAAACAAUAUCGUUUGAAAUCAGACUUUGAAUUUAAAUCAUUAGUCAAACUAAUUUUUAUAUGCAUGUGUGAUCUAAAAUUACAGUUUGACAACGUAAAAUUCUAAGAAAACAACACUAUAAGUUAAUGAAAUUAAGUGGAUAAACACCUGCAUACGCCACAGGAGGUCACCGCUAGGCUUGACCUGAUGGCGAUUAUUGUAGAAAUUAAGACGAGCUUCUUCCACCUCGGCUCGCUCUUCGGGAGUUCCUGCCUCAGGAUCAAACUCAAAUAUCUGCCUCCCCACAAAGUUGUUUGUGCUGUAGAUGUAAGGGUCAUUCCCACCAUCUGCAACCUUAAGCUUCCACAUCUUCAAUAUCUCUUUCUUAUUAUUAUUCUAUAUAUAGCUGCCACUGCUGUUCUACCUAAGAACCUGUUUCAUGCAUGCAAUGUAUGUAUCUAUGGAUAUUGAGAGAGAGAGAGAGAGAGAGAGAGAGAGAGAGAGAGAGAGAGAGAGAGAGAGAGACCCUGUACGUGAGAAGCUGCAAAAACCUUAAUGUAGAGGUUGGUUAUAUAGCUAAGAAUGAAAGAGAGGUGGGGUCGGCCAGCUACCUAGUUUAUAUAUAUGUGUGUGUUUGUAUAAUGCGAGAGUAGUUUUUCGUGAUCAGCAACUAAUCAUUCUUUAAUAUGCUUCGAUAGAGGAAUAAUACAUAUCACCUUCCUAAAUUUGUACAUAUAUAUAUAACAUUUAUAGAUCUAGAGAAAUUAAACAAGCAUCCACUCUCUAUGUCAGGUAGUUCUUAUUAUAUACCAGCCUCUUUGCACGUGCUUCUGCGCCUGCGAGAGGUUUUUUUUAAAAAAAUUUAAAUUUAUUUUAAAAUUAAAAAAGAUAAUGGAUAGUUGUGUUCCAUAAAAAUAGGAUCCAUUAUCUGAAUUUUCUUUUAAUUUUAAUUUUUUUAAUAUGAAAAAUUGUAAAUUUACCAUAUUAUCCUCAUUUAAUUAAUAAUUUUAAUUCUUAAUGUUUGCAUUAACCAAGGGCAUUUUCUGGUAUUUUGAAUGUUUCACCAUUCUCUGUCUUUUGCUUUAUAUAUAUAGAUUUUAUUUUUUGGUAAGAACAUUUUCUUAUUGUUUCCGAUUGUCGUGAAGUCAGCCCUCCUCUAAUGUAGGGUGCGUUUCUUCCACCAACCACCAUCCACCCAAAAAUGAUUGAAUAUGAGUGUCGCUUCCACGCGACACAAAAUUAUAAUAUCGCGUAUCAAAGAUUAAAUGCACGAGUAUUUUUAAUGGGAGUUGUUUUUUUCAUUUUUAUUGUAAGAAUAAUGAGAGUUGUAAUUGGCAUUUCAAAAUUUUUAUUUUGCAUUCCUUCUUUUAAAACGGAUAAAGAAAAUGCAAUAUUAUGACAGACAUGGGUAAAAAUUUUCCCAAUAACUUAAGCAUCCCAGUCCUAGUAGCAAUACGGAGAACUUUCAAAAACUUCUAUAUACAAUAAGACUUAAGGCAUUAUUCUAUUUUAAUUUUUAGACUUAGGAUCUUUAUGAAAGAUUUUUGUAUAAUACAGAGUAAUUAAAAAUGAAAGCAAAUAAAAAUUGCGUGUUCAUAUGGUUUUGGGGGAUAUGCAUGAUCUGAAUUUGUCUCUUUCUUUGGCCAUUGACUUGAGUUUGUAGUGAUAUCACAUUGUAAGUCAUAUCAUAGAAUCUCUACAAUUAAAUUAUUAUGGCGUUGAACUUUAAGUUAGCGGAGAUGUUAGGUAUAAAGAUUUUUAUUGAAAGAUUACACGUAACCCUUAUUGACUAACAAUUCACCAACAUAAUUAAAUCUCUAAUAGGGAAAAGCUUCUUCCUUUGUAUUCACUUCACUCUUUUUUUCUUCAAGAAUUAAUUCUUAGCAAGCUGAAAACUAGACACAUGGAUGGGAUGUUCAAACUAACAUUAGUUGAUACAUCACAUUAAUGAACUCAAAUUAUCAUAACAACAUUUGAAUAUGCACAUAAAUUUGGAAAAAAGAUUCUCCGGCUGGGAGAAAGCUAUCUAAAUAUUUUUAAUGGAACAAGUUGUAUCUACAUUAGUUGCUUUGUACGUGUUUUUUAUUAUUUUAUCAAUGAAAUACUAUCGCUCUUUUAUAAUAAAAAGAUAUGAACAGAGUUACUAAUAAUGGCAUGAGGGCAACGGGCACCUAAUCAAAGUUUCCCGCGAUUACUGAGGCAUAUAUACAUUAAAAUAGGAAACCACAUGAAAAGUAUGCAGGGAUUUUUUAAACAAAGAACACGAUCUCUGAAUCUCAUACCAAAACAAAGCGAACAAUAAUCUAGGGUAUAAAAGAAGUCUACGUUUUCUAAGCAUGUAGGACCAAGGUGGAAUAAUAUUUGAACUGGUAUAUUAAAUACAAUAUAUAUAUGUUGAUGUCGGUGUGAUUUUCCCAAUAAUAUCUUUACCUUAGAUACCAUGUUUAAUAAUUUCUUGGAAAUCGAAUUUGACACAUUUUUUAAUAUUAAGGAACAAAAUAUAUGUCAACGGGGUCUAAAUUCAAUGAAAAAUAGCAUUAACUUGCAGACUAAUAGUUUAAGAUUCAAACCCUCAUGCCACCGUGAUUGUGUAUGUGAGAAAGAAAAAUAUCCGGAAGAUGAGAGGAAUGAAGACAUGUGAAAGACUAUAUGAAAUCAUAUAGGUGAAAGCUAAAAAUUAAAAACAACAAAAUUUUAUUUUAUAAAAGAUUUUUCUCUCUCGACUUGAUUUAAAAAGCAAAAGGCUGAAAACCCAAAAAGAAAGUGUUGAUAGGAUACCACAUGCACUUAGUAGCACAUUAAAGACAAAUACUAACAAGUUUUGGAGUAUUAACGCUGGAAACUUCAUUAAAGACAAAUCAAAUACUAACAACUUUUGGAGUGUUUUUUAGUGAAUUUAUUGUAUUAGCCCACCAAUGUGGACAUAUAUAAACCAAGCACAAAGUAUUCUACCACUCAUAUUCCUAUCCUACACCUACGUAUAUUUAUGAUAUGAUUCCUUUCUCUAGCUGGUUUGACCUUUGCGAAGCUAAGGUUCAUACCAAUUUAUUCAAGGACCAUGCUUUAAUUAUGCUAAUUAUCCUCAAUUCUUUAUAAUUUGUUUAAUUAAUCAUCAAUUUUCGCUCGUGUGAAUGUCAUUAGACUAAAAGAUUAUGAGUAAUGCUAGGCAUACCACAUUUGCAUAUCACUUUGUUAGAGAGAUCGAUGAAGCCGGCCCACCUUUAUUAGAGAGGUAAUGUGGUAUAAUGACUAGCAUUUUUGAAAGAUUAUUGGCUAAUUGUUCAGGAGUUCCCCAAUAAACUUAAUAAAUGUACAUGCAUGUAAUAUCUAAAAAUAACAGUACAGUUAGGCUCAAAUUCUUGAAAAAGCUAGGUCAUAUCUUGGCCAUGCUUCUACAAAUGUAUAAGGUUUAAUUUUUAAUGACCUAAUUGACUCAACCAAUGAGAAGCUGCAAGAUCCUCUCUCUCAUUGGAUUGUACACAAGUAAUCUCAUUGGAUUUGAACAAGAAAUUGAAUUGCAUUUGAUUGCACACAAGUACUCGUAAUUCCUCGUAAAUUUAUUGAAAAAUUUGUAUUUUGUACAAAUUCAUUCUCACUAAGCAUCAAGCUGAACCCCCAUAAAAAUGAUUUUCAACAAUUGGCUCUUAUAUAUAUAUGUUUAAUCCUUUAUGUUGGAUAAGCUACACAAUACUGUUAGCGAUUUAGGCUUCCGAAGGCAAUGGAACCCACUUGCGGUACUCUGCAAGAGCCCACAGAGGGUAGAUAUUUCUGUAAGCUGCAUAAUGUAGCAUGCAGUUCUUCAUGAACACUCCUGUGAUUUCCUGCCAUAGUUCAGUGAUUAAUGGUUAGAAAAAAGUUACAAGUAAAAAUUAAGAUUGCAAUGCAAGUAAUGUUGUGCUAAGAAAGAUACCUGUUGGGGAAAAUCCCCAUUUUCCAUUUGAGAAUUGAUAAUCAACUUUGCUGCACGAUGAAGAGGUGCAGGAUCUCUUUCUGCCUGUCCAGCUUGAAUCAGACCCAUCAUAGCCCAUGCAGUGUGUACUAAAUUCGAUCGGUUUUCUUCGAGAGGAACGUACUCCUGUAUCAACCGCCAAGAGAGAAAUAUUUUCAUGUAAGACAAUGGGAUGGUUUAAGAAAUUUGAAGCUUGCUUAAAACGCAAUCCACCUCCAACAUCUUACCUUUUUUGGACAUGAAAGAUAGCUCUCUCCCCAGCCACCGUUCUCUCUUUGUGUCGUGAGUAGAAAGUUAACGCCUUUGCGCACAGUCAAACAAUUAUUGAAAGUCUUUCCGGCCGCUGCUAACCCUCCAAGGGCAAACCAGCUACCAUAUGUAAAGCAAACUCCCCAAUUUCCAUACCAUGAACCAUCUGGCAUUUGUAUGUUUUCAAGGUACUCUGUAGCAUUGGUAAUGAAAUUAUCAAUCUCUUUUUUCCUGUGCCCAGGAUACAACUUCUUAAACAGAACUAAAGACUGAAUUGCAGAUGAAGUGCAUUCAACAUAUUCGUGCUCGACCACAAUGUCCGCAAAGAAUUCUGUGGGAUUUAACAUCUGAGGGAAAUAAAAGAGGAAAAUAUGUAGUAAGUAUCUGCUAAUGAUUAUUUUAAGAGCAUUAAUUUCUGUUCAUCUGACAGAUUUGCACAAGAACGUGGCUUCAAUUUGUUAGAAUUCUUACUUCUAACCACUCUGCUGCUCCUGCUGGUUCCCAGGCUGCUAAACCACCAUUCUUACUCUGCAAUGAUCCGAAAAAUGGUGCUUAGUUAAUGAGUACUUAGAUAUAAAAGAGCAAUGCACUUGAAAAGAGAAGGGUUGAAGUGCUAAAAGUUAAUUAAAUUCUUCAAACUAAAGCAACAAUUAGGAGUGGCAACUCUAGGGUUAAAGAAUCAUGUGAAACAAAUAUAGAUCAAAUUGCUGCAGGGAAAGCACAAGCUUUUAAAUCCAUAUCUAUGACUAGGGGGUGCAGGAUAAGAAUACUUUAGACACAAUCCUUUCUGCAGGCAAGUUCUCACCUGUAGGGAAAGUAGGACAUUGACAGAAUCGUAUAACCUCUGAGGUUCCAUUUUUUCACCAACUAUAUCUGGUCGCAUCGUCGAGAACAACAGGCAACACUGCAGUGUAGGAGAUUGUGAGAAACAUGGAGAUAAACAGACGGUGGAUAAGUCAAAUUGAAGCAUUUGAGAAAAUUUAGUUACCUUUAAACCCUCUGCGGUGCAAUCAGAAACUUGCCAUCCAUGGUCUUGAUCAGAGAAAGUCCAUGAUCCUUUAGAAAUGUGGCGGUGCAUGCUUUUGAAGUCACCAGAUGGAUUGUCCUUGACCUGUACAGUUUGAGCGCAAAGGAUUCAUUAGUCUGAACAAAUUAAUGGACACACAUUUAUAGGUAAACUAUAGUUAAAAUUGAACCUGAGAUUUCUUGAUGAAGUCAUGUCCUCUAGCGAGCGUAGGUCCAAUUUCAUCAGUAAGAUUGCUAGCAAGCAAAGCUUGAAUGGCAAAACCAGUAUCCCACUGCUGACUUCCAAAACUCUGCAUAUAUCAAUCAAACAAUAAGUAUGUAAACUUCUAAGGUUUUCCUCUUCUUUUAGGUGAGUUACACUUUAAUGACCAAAGGAGAAAAACUCUGCUUAAAAUCAUACGCAUAAAUGUUACAACAGCAUAAAUAAUCUGGGAUGCUAUGUGUACUAACCUGCAUCUUCAUCCCAUCUUCAGCAACCCAUAAAUAAUCUGGGAUCCUAGCAAGAUGCUUCUUAAAAUAGUCUCCAUUUGGAUCUUCAGCCCAACAAGCAAGCAUACAUAAAACCUGUUCAAGUAAUGCAAAUAACAUGAUGAGAAUCUGAAAAGUUAAUAUUUUUCUCCAGUCUCCUAUAAGGUACAUCAGUAUCCUUAUCCACAUUACCUUUUCCACACAUCCAAUGGUAAUAUAUCUGCUGUUUUCAUCUUCAUAAUGAAUAUGCUUCAUUGUAACUUGAAGAGCUUUUUCUCUGACCAACUUGUUAAACGGCCAGCGAGUAAGAAGAGGCUCUGUACAUAUGUAGAGACUAUCCCACAUGAUGUCCUGUAUCCAAGGGUGUGGGUAGUAGAUAUCCUCCUGCAAUUAAAUACCUGUAAUCAGGUUCUGUACUUAAACAAGAAAUAUAAACUGAUUAAGUAAUUUAAUUAAAGUUAAACUCACUUUCGCACAAAGAUGGCGCACUCCCUUCCAAUUAAUUGCAUCGUAAGGUUGAGCAUAUAGUUCUUCCCUUAAUUGCAGAAUGAGAGGUGUGAUUGGGCCAACAAACCUCUUCCCAUAUAAAUAUGACAUAGGCAUGUAAACCAUCCUACAAUAGCACCACAUUUUUGCUGCAUUUUCAAGAUAAAAGAGGUUAAAAAUUAAGACUUCUAACUAAAUCACAAGGACACUCCUUGAGUUUGCAGAGUUCUUCAAUCUGCAGGUGUGCUAACCUGGAUGCAUAGGAAGAAAUGAAGGCAGCAUCCAAAACUCCGGCGGCAUUGGGUUGCUUCCAGACCACUCAAACACGCCAAGUAUCUACAACAAAAGCAACAUACUCAUAUUAAUUGAAGCCUAAUAAAUGCAACUAUUACUCAUAUUUUUUCCAUUCAACAAGGCCAUACGUACCGAAAGCCAGGUCUUUCCCCAAGAGGGCAUGUGUGUGACACUACCGUGAUCAAGAAUCCAUUUCCUUGCUCUGGCACAAGCAUUGUUCUGGCCUCCAUCAGGUCCUUCUCCGAGAAUGCGCAUACAAAUGUAGCUCAGGGCUGUGCAGAACAUGGUGCUAUGGCCUUCAAUAUGUAAUCCCCAACCACCAUCUUGAUUCUGAAAAUACAUUACCAUU